GGGGCCAUAGCUCAGCUGGGAGAGCGCAACGCUGGCAGCGUGAGGUCGACGGUUCGAUCCCGUCUGGCUCCA
This 72-nucleotide transfer RNA is filed under the name Hahella chejuensis KCTC 2396. It matches the Rfam family "tRNA". Rfam says of the family: Transfer RNA (tRNA) molecules are approximately 80 nucleotides in length. Their secondary structure includes four short double-helical elements and three loops (D, anti-codon, and T loops). Further hydrogen bonds mediate the characteristic L-shaped molecular structure. tRNAs have two regions of fundamental functional importance: the anti-codon, which is responsible for specific mRNA codon recognition, and the 3' end, to which the tRNAs corresponding amino acid is attached (by aminoacyl-tRNA synthetases). tRNAs cope with the degeneracy of the genetic code in two manners: having more than one tRNA (with a specific anti-codon) for a particular amino acid; and 'wobble' base-pairing, i.e. permitting non-standard base-pairing at the 3rd anti-codon position. Lineage: Bacteria; Pseudomonadati; Pseudomonadota; Gammaproteobacteria; Oceanospirillales; Hahellaceae. The record is from Rfam by way of RNAcentral.